This 364-nucleotide unclassified non-coding RNA is filed under the name uncultured Chloroflexota bacterium. Its description in RNAcentral is "uncultured Chloroflexi bacterium contains 16S-23S intergenic spacer region". The record is from RNAcentral. Lineage: Bacteria; Bacillati; Chloroflexota.
UCCGGGUUGGUCCCGGCGGUCCGGCCAGACGUGGUAACUGGCCGCGGGGGUUGCGCUCGUUGCGGGACUUAACCCAACACCUCACGGCACGAGCUGACGACAGCCGUGCAGCACCUGUGCCGGCUCCCUCGCGGGUCGCUCCCCUUUCGGGUCGCUACCACCGGCAUGUCAAGCCCGGGUAAGGUUCUUCGCGUUGCAUCGAAUUAAACCACACGCUCCGCUGCUUGUGCGGGCCCCCGUCAAUUCCUUUGAGUUCUAGCCUUGCGGCCGUACUCCCCAGGCGGGGUGCUUAUCGCGUUGGCUGCGGCACCGCGGGGGUCGAUACCCGCGACACCUAGCACCCAUCGUUUACGGCGUGGACUAC